UCGGAUAUUCUGGAAGAAAGGAACACCGCAAGGAGGAAGGAUCUAUUCCGAGCCAUUUCACCUUAACAAGGUCAUUGGCUCGGAUAUUCUGGAAGAAAGGAACACCGCAAGGAGGAAGAAUUUAUUCCGAGCCAUUUCACCUUAACAAGGUCCUUGGCUCGGAUAUUCUGAAAGAAAGGACAACCCCGCAAGGAGGAAGAAUUUAUUCCGAGCCAUUUCACCUUAACAAGAUCAUUAGCUCGGAUAUUUUGAAAGAAAGGAC
Molecule: long non-coding RNA, 262 nt
Filed under: Panax ginseng (ginseng)
Lineage: Eukaryota; Viridiplantae; Streptophyta; Magnoliopsida; Apiales; Araliaceae
Description: long non-coding RNA (PGIN_LNC019119)
Source: RNAcentral